This is a long non-coding RNA of Ochotona curzoniae (black-lipped pika), 267 nucleotides long. RefSeq lists it as uncharacterized. The transcript has 3 exons. Lineage: Eukaryota; Metazoa; Chordata; Mammalia; Lagomorpha; Ochotonidae. The record is from RefSeq and is a predicted model, not a curated record.
UUUAAUUCCUAGUGUUGAGACACCGAUUCACAGAGCAGGAACUUCAUUACUAACUGAUCUGCAACAAUGAAGUGAUAACUUCCUGAAGAAGAUGGAAAAUGGAGAGAGCAUCCGUUACACUGCGACCAGAGACACGACGUGCCUUUCUUUCCUCAUGAGCAUGCUUUUGAAGAACUCCUACCCCGUCCUCCUCACAGUUAUCCAUUGAUGGACAUCUGGAUGAAUUCCAUAUUUUAACCAUUAUGAAUUAAACCACAAUAAACACAG